UAUCUCUGUAGAGUCUGCAUAUCAAUAAGCGGAGGAAAAGAAACUAACAAGGAUUCCCUUAGUAACGGCGAGUGAAGCGGGAAGAGCUCAAAUUUGAAAUCUUCAAGGUUCUACCUUGACGAAUUGUAGUUUAAAGAAGUGUUUUCUGUUAGAUGAGUAGCAAAAGUUCCUUGGAAUGGGGACAUCAUAGAGGGUGAGAAUCCCGUAUUUGGUUAUUCAUUCUAGCUUUGUGAUACACUUUCAAAGAGUCGGAUUGUUUGGGAAUGCAGUCCAAAAUGGGUGGUAAAUUUCAUCUAAAGCUAAAUAUUGGCGAGAGACCGAUAGCGAACAAGUACCGUGAGGGAAAGAUGAAAAGAACUUUGAAAAGAGAGUUAAACAGUACGUGAAAUUGUCAAAAGGGAAGCGUUUGACACCAGUGUUGUUUUUCCGAAAAUCAAUUACGAAUGGCUUGAUUUUGUGUUGUAUUGACCUUAUCAGCUUUCUUCACUUUUUUCGAGUCUUUCUUAAUGCACUUUUCGGUUAACAAGUCAACAUCAAUUUCUUUUGUUGUAAAAGAGUAUUCGGAAGGUGGCUUUCUUUUCGGAGAAAGUGUUUAUAGCCCUAUACUUCUACAAUCGGAGAGAUUGAGGUCUGCAGCGUAGAUCCUUCGGGGUUAGAUACAUUUGUGCUAAGUUGUAGCUUUUCAUAGACAACUUGUUGACUAUGUUUAGUCAUGCGGCUUACUCGCUUAUGCUAUUUUACCUACGCUUAGGAUGUUGACUGAUAUGUAGUCGUA
This 775-nucleotide ribosomal RNA is filed under the name uncultured Neocallimastigales. RNAcentral describes it as "partial large subunit ribosomal RNA". It matches the Rfam family "Eukaryotic large subunit ribosomal RNA", at positions 24 to 644 of the family's 3401-position model. Lineage: Eukaryota; Fungi; Neocallimastigomycota; Neocallimastigomycetes; Neocallimastigales. The record is from RNAcentral.